CAGUUCGGAUUGGAGUCUGCAACCCGAACCUCCAUGAAGCUGGAUUCGCUAGUAAUCGCGCAUCAGCCAUGGCGCGGUGAAUACGUUCCCGGGCCUUGUACACACCGCCCGUCAAGCCAUGGGAGCCGGGGGUGCCUGAAGUACGUGACCGCGAGGAGCGUCCUAGGGCAAAACUGGUGACUGGGGCUAAGUCGUAACAAGGUAUC
Molecule: ribosomal RNA, 206 nt
Filed under: uncultured bacterium
Lineage: Bacteria
Description: partial 16S ribosomal RNA
Rfam family: Bacterial small subunit ribosomal RNA
Source: RNAcentral